UACGUAGGGAGCAAGCGUUGUCCGGAUUCACUGGGUGUAAAGGGUGCGCAGGCGGGUUGGCAAGUCAGAGGUGAAAUCUCACGGCUCAACCGUGAAACUGCCUUUGAUACUGCUAAUCUUGAGUUCGGGAGAGGUUGAUGGAAUUCCAGGUGUAGCAGUGAAAUGCGUAGAUAUCUGGAAGAACACCAGUGGCGAAAGCGGCUCUCUGGUCCAAAACUGACGCUGAGGGGCGAAAGCGUGGGGAGCGAACGGG
RNAcentral lists this ribosomal RNA (253 nucleotides) under uncultured bacterium. Its description in RNAcentral is "partial 16S ribosomal RNA". It matches the Rfam family "Bacterial small subunit ribosomal RNA", at positions 524 to 776 of the family's 1533-position model. The record is from RNAcentral.